UACGUAGGGGGCAAGCGUUGUCCGGAUUUAUUGGGCGUAAAGAGCGUGUAGGCGGCUUGGUAGGUCCGCUGUGAAAACUCGAGGCUCAACCUCGAGAUGUCGGCGGAAACCACUUGGCUAGAGUCCGGAAGAGGAUAGUGGAAUUCCUGGUGUAGCGGUGAAAUGCGCAGAUAUCAGGAAGAACACCUAUGGCGAAGGCAGCUCUCUGGGACGGUACUGACGCUGAGACGCGAAAGCGUGGGGAGCGAACAGG
This 253-nucleotide ribosomal RNA is filed under the name uncultured bacterium. RNAcentral's name for it is "partial 16S ribosomal RNA". It matches the Rfam family "Bacterial small subunit ribosomal RNA", at positions 524 to 776 of the family's 1533-position model. The record is from RNAcentral.